UCUUCUCUUUAGAAGGUUUGUUUGUCUUUCCCCCAUCUUCUCAUUUUUCCCUGCAGAAGUUAAUGUGGAUGAGUUCACCAUGGUCUGCCUUGCCAACAUCCAUCUCCAUGACUUUAUUUCCCUUUACUUUGUCCUCCAUAUAUAAAUGUUUUCUGAACAAAAUGACAAACUGAGUGUGAUUAGUUAUGGUCCUAGAAACUUGUCUAGACAUUGAUCCUUUCAGACCAAGCAAGAUGUUUGCCAGUUAUAAUGACAUUGUCUGAAUAGCUUAGACAUCUGCUAUGUCCAAAACCUCUUUCUUAGAGACUCAGUAUGCAUGGAUUGCUAUAUUUGUGCUCAAUGACAUCAUGAUGACCCUAAAAACAAUGGAUUUGACUCCUGAUCCAAAGGGACUCUGUUAGUUUGUAGGCAUUCCUUGGACUUAGGAAGUUACUUGGUGUGAAGGCUCCAUCUAACACCAACAAGAGUGCCCUCUACUGGAUGGUGACUUUCCAAACUAAUCAAAUUUUUGUUUAUUGAAGAGUUUGACUUUAAGACACGUGCAGAAAAAAAAAAAAAGACACGUGCAGAAUAAUUAUACAAAAGCUUACUAACAAUAGAAGUAGAGGUAAAGAGAGGUGCCUGGCUCAGCCGGUUAAGUGUCUGCCUUUGGCUCAGAUCAUGAUACCAGGAGUCUGGGCUUCCAGCUCAGUGGGGAGCCUGCUUCUCCUUCUCUCUCUGCCAUCUACCCCCCCCCCCAACUUUUGCUCUCUAGUUCUAUCUAUCUCUCUGUCAAGUAAAUAAAUAAAAUCUUAAAAAAAAUAAGUAGAGGUAAAGAAUCACCAUGUCACCAAACAAUAGUUUGAAGGAAUGGAUGUCAUGGGAUAGCCACAAGAAUUUUAGUGCUUCAUCAGGGCAGCAGUUGGGCCUUUAGAUCUGCUGCCAAAACCUGAAUAAGGUUUUGAGCUCUAGGUAACCUGGUUGUAUAUUAUUACAGCAAACUGUGUGAGAUAAACUAAUUAUAUCUAUUUCUUAUGAUUCAAGCAACUUAAUGUAUAAAUAAUAAGAAAAGUCAUUUUAGAUAAGAUUAGGCAAAAGGCUAUAAUAAAUAGAUGAAAGAUCAAUAUUAUAAUCCAGAGCUGAUAAUCACUAUUGGUAGCAGCUGCUGGAAAAAAAAAUCUCAUGUAUAAAUGUACUAGAAAUUAUUUUUCGUAUGUCUACCUGCCUAUCAGAGACCUCUCGGGCAGCCACUCCUCUCAAAGAAACCAGUGGAAAUAUGAACCUAGAUUGCAUUAUUGGGUAUUACAUGACCCCACCUUCUCAUUGACAUCCUUAGACCAAAGGUGAGUUACAAUUUCAAGAACAGCAAACAUGGUGUCUCUCUCUCUCCUCUCUCUCUCUCUCUCACACACACACACACACACACACACACACGGCAGUUUAUGUGCUUUAUUCUAUGUAAGUUAUACCUCAGGAAAUAAGAAUAAAUAUAAAAGGCAAAAAAAUGAUGAAGUAGGUCAAUCAGAUCCCUACAUGAGCCUUUUAAACCAAGAGUAUUGAGAUGAUGAUUUCAAUAGCUCAGGGAACAGAG
RNAcentral lists this long non-coding RNA (1570 nucleotides) under Canis lupus familiaris (dog). RNAcentral's name for it is "lncRNA (ENSCAFG00000057834.1)". The record is from RNAcentral. Lineage: Eukaryota; Metazoa; Chordata; Mammalia; Carnivora; Canidae.